GCCUGGGUGGCUCAGUCGGUUAAGCGUCCGACUUCAGCUCAGGUCGCCGAUCUCACGGUCUGUGGGUUCGAGCCCCACAUUGGGCU
Molecule: transfer RNA, 86 nt
Filed under: Felis catus (domestic cat)
Lineage: Eukaryota; Metazoa; Chordata; Mammalia; Carnivora; Felidae
Rfam family: tRNA
About the family: Transfer RNA (tRNA) molecules are approximately 80 nucleotides in length.
Source: Rfam by way of RNAcentral